GAUGAACGCUGGCGGCGUGCCUAAUACAUGCAAGUCGAGCGAACAGAUAAGGAGCUUGCUCCUUUGACGUUAGCGGCGGACGGGUGAGUAACACGUGGGUAACCUAUCUAUAAGACUGGAAUAACUCCGGGAAACCGGGGCUAAUGCCGGAUAACAUGUUGAACCGCAUGGUUCUACAGUGAAAGGCGGCUUUGCUGUCACUUAUAGAUGGACCCGCGCCGUAUUAGCUAGUUGGUGAGGUAACGGCUCACCAAGGCAACGAUACGUAGCCGACCUGAGAGGGUGAUCGGCCACACUGGAACUGAGACACGGUCCAGACUCCUACGGGAGGCAGCAGUAGGGAAUCUUCCGCAAUGGGCGAAAGCCUGACGGAGCAACGCCGCGUGAGUGAUGAAGGUCUUCGGAUCGUAAAACUCUGUUAUUAGGGAAGAACAAAUGCGUAAGUAACUGUGCGCGUCUUGACGGUACCUAAUCGGAAAGCCACGGCUAACUACGUG
RNAcentral lists this ribosomal RNA (497 nucleotides) under uncultured bacterium. RNAcentral's name for it is "partial 16S ribosomal RNA". It matches the Rfam family "Bacterial small subunit ribosomal RNA", at positions 28 to 507 of the family's 1533-position model. The record is from RNAcentral.